This 76-nucleotide transfer RNA is filed under the name Halobacteroides halobius DSM 5150. Its description in RNAcentral is "tRNA-Val (GAC) (tRNA-Val-GAC-1-1)". It matches the Rfam family "tRNA". Rfam says of the family: Transfer RNA (tRNA) molecules are approximately 80 nucleotides in length. The record is from RNAcentral. Lineage: Bacteria; Bacillati; Bacillota; Clostridia; Halanaerobiales; Halobacteroidaceae.
GGGGAUAUAGCUCAGUUGGGAGAGCGCUACGUUGACAUCGUAGAGGUCACUGGUUCGAGCCCAGUUAUUCCCACCA